Molecule: ribosomal RNA, 137 nt
Filed under: uncultured bacterium
Lineage: Bacteria
Description: partial 16S ribosomal RNA
Rfam family: Bacterial small subunit ribosomal RNA
Source: RNAcentral
UGGGGAAUAUUGCACAAUGGGGGGAACCCUGAUGCAGCGACGCCGCGUGAGUGAAGAAGCGCCUCGGCGCGUAAAGCUCUGUCAGCAGGGAAGAAGAUGACGGUACCUGACCAAGAAGCCCCGGCUAACUACGUGCC